GUUUAGCGACCGCAUACCUAUUGGGAAACGGAAACGAAUUCUUGUCCAAUAAUGAUCAAAUCACAGAUCUAUAUUAUAUAUAGAGAUUGUUAUGUGUGUAGCUCUUUUUUUCAAGCUUAAAAGAAGUCGCCCAAGCCAAAUCUAGGAAAAAUCAAUAUUUUCUGUCUUUGAAAACUUUGUUCCAACAUUCUUUGUGUCGUGUUAGAGAUUACACGUCCAGUCUAGACUGGUCUGCACUAUCUUGGUCCUUCAUUACCGACUCAUCGGUGUAGCAGUACAUGGCACUUGAUGACUAUGGAAAAUCAUGGGACGGGUUGCCUUAAUCAGCCAGGAAAAACAACAGAGAACAUUCACGAAAGGACAUCAGAAUCUAUGAUCUAAGAAAUUCCAUUAACCACGGAGGGUUUUAGGUUUAUCUGAAGGAGCUAAUGAUAGUAACAUUCCCACUUGUACACAGACGGAUUCACGAAAGUGUGUUGAAGCGUGACCAGGUCAUUCCAACUUUAAGAGAUGGGCGUUGAUUUCCCUGCAACUUGAACACUGUCAGUAUGACCAGAUCAGAAAUGUCAGUGGACUAUUGCAUGAUCCGAAACCUUUGUGUUCACCAUCAUACGUCCUGUUCUCAAGUAGAGCCUGUUUCUUUGGUCGUUUGGAUGUCCUUUCAAGAAUAUGGCUGUAUAUAGUAGGAAUUGGUUAGCUUUAUGCAUUGGGUUGUCUUCCUUGUUUGGGGGAAAGUGACACUCAUUGAAGACAAAUUCUUUCAAAAUCUUACGUGUUUCGCAAUUUCCCAUAGAAAACUUCGUGGGUAAUUUUAAAUCAUGUUAACAAGACAAGUGGAUGUAGCGGUGUAGCAAGAUAUUCGUGGGCUCGGGUUCAAGACCUUGGGCCCCCUCGCUGGGAUGGAAUAAGACAAAACAAAUUGUUCACCAUGUAUGAGCCACUACACUUUCAAAAUGUAGAUAAUAAGAGAACUGAUGUCAACAUAUAGCUCUGUGUCGAUUAAUUGUUUAU
Biomphalaria glabrata is the source of this 1011-nucleotide long non-coding RNA. RefSeq lists it as uncharacterized. Lineage: Eukaryota; Metazoa; Mollusca; Gastropoda; Planorbidae. The record is from RefSeq and is a predicted model, not a curated record. The transcript has 5 exons.